GAUGAAGAACGUAGCGAAAUGCGAUACGUAAUGUGAAUUGCAGAAUUCAGUGAAUCAUCGAGUCUUUGAACGCUCAUUGCGUCCCCUGGUAUUCCGGGGGGCAUGCCUGUCCGAGCGUCAUUGCUGCCCUCAAGCACGGCUUGUGUGUUGGGCCUCCGUCCUCCUCCCGGGGGACGGGCCCGAAAGGCAGCGGCGGCACCGCGUCCGGUCCUCGAGCGUAUGGGGCUUCGUCACCCGCUCUUGUAGGCCCGGCCGGCGCUUGCCGACACAUCAAUCUUUUUUCCAGGUUGACCUCGGAUCAGGUAGGGAUACCCGCUGAACUUAAGCAUAUCAAUAAGCGGAGGA
RNAcentral lists this unclassified non-coding RNA (345 nucleotides) under soil metagenome. RNAcentral describes it as "partial contains 5.8S ribosomal RNA, internal transcribed spacer 2, and large subunit ribosomal RNA". The stretch from base 1 to 120 matches the Rfam family "5.8S ribosomal RNA", at positions 35 to 154 of the family's 154-position model. The record is from RNAcentral.